Molecule: long non-coding RNA, 526 nt
Organism: Hordeum vulgare subsp. vulgare (domesticated barley)
Lineage: Eukaryota; Viridiplantae; Streptophyta; Magnoliopsida; Poales; Poaceae
Exons: 2
Source: RefSeq, a predicted model, not a curated record
GCAUUCCAUUGUGAUCAAGGCAACAGUCCCACUUGAAAGAAAUACCACACAUCACUUUUGAUCCUUAGUAAUGAUGGCCAAACACACGAGGAAUGGUGUCCAAGCAGUUAUACUAGUUUCUUUUGUCCUUGUGGUGUGCUUUUCCUGUCUGGGAUGCACAAAUGGUGAAAGCAUAAACGGCAAGAGGAGCAACGGGAUGAUCGAAGUGAGCCAAGUAGUCCGCCCCCCUUGUUACAAAGACCAUCACCAGCCCCCAGAAUUGCAAUAUUGUUGUCACACGGAUAAGAUAUGUUGGAUAGACCUUGGGGAAUGCUUCACAAACUGCCCGUGCAAGAUCAAUUGCCCACUGCCACCAGCAGCACAGUAGUUGUGUCAUCUCUCAUUCUUUGGCUUAAUAAAUCCCAACCUUAUGGACCCUGAGAUAAUCAUGUGUUGAUCAGCUAGCAAAUUUGCUAGAGAAAAAUAAUCCAGAAAUUACAUAUGCGGUUUAAAUAUUUAAUAAAAAACUACUGAGUUGCUCCCCUUA